This 436-nucleotide ribosomal RNA is filed under the name Loligo vulgaris. RNAcentral describes it as "partial 12S rRNA". The record is from RNAcentral. Lineage: Eukaryota; Metazoa; Mollusca; Cephalopoda; Myopsida; Loliginidae.
AUACCAAUACUUUGGGUUUAUAUAUAAAUAGUAUAAAAUAAAGUGANAAUUGUUAAUGAAAGUUAGAAUUAAUAAGUAUAGUGAUUGUAGGUAAAAUUUAAUUUAUAUAAUUAAUUAUAUUAUUCUAGUUAAUAGAUUCUUUGAAAAUAAGGUUUAAGAAAACUAGGAUUAGAGACCCUAUUAUUCUUUAUUUUAAAAAAUUUUUUAUUUAAGUAGUAAGAGUUGAUGUAAAUUUAAAUUUAUUUGAUUUAUAAUAUGCUUGAAACUUAAAAGGCUUGGCGGUGUCAUACAUCCUUCCAGGGGAGCUUGCUUAUUAAUUUGAUAUUCCUCAAUUUAUACUUACUUUUUCUUGAAUAAAUUAAAACAGUUUGUGUAUUGCUGUCGUCAGUUUAUUUUGUAAAAAUCUUAGAAAAAACUUUGUAAUGAAUUGAUUAUG